AACGAACGCUGGCGGCAGGCCUAACACAUGCAAGUCGAGCGCGCCCUUCGGGGUGAGCGGCGGACGGGUGAGUAACGCGUGGGAACGUGCCCUUUUCUACGGAAUAGCCUCGGGAAACUGAGAGUAAUACCGGAUACGCCCUUUGGGGGAAAGAUUUAUCGGAAAAGGAUCGGCCCGCGUUGGUUUAGGUAGGUGGUGGGGUAAUGGCCUACCAAGCCGACGAUCCAUAGCUGGUUUGAGAGGAUGAUCAGCCACACUGGGACUGAGACACGGCCCAGACUCCUACGGGAGGCAGCAGUGGGGAAUCUUAGACAAUGGGGGCAACCCUGAUCUAGCCAUGCCGCGUGAGUGAUGAAGGCCUUAGGGUUGUAAAGCUCUUUCAGCUGGGAAGAUAAUGACGGUACCAGCAGAAGAAGCCCCGGCUAACUCCGUG
This 433-nucleotide ribosomal RNA is filed under the name uncultured bacterium. Its description in RNAcentral is "partial 16S ribosomal RNA". It matches the Rfam family "Bacterial small subunit ribosomal RNA", at positions 29 to 507 of the family's 1533-position model. The record is from RNAcentral.